UGCAGAUUAAUUUACAUUUGCAGAUUAAUUUCUAAAAGUAUUCGCCAGUUUAACUCAUCUAAAAUUACCAGGAUUUUAUGAUAUAACAAAAAUGUGAGAUAAUAAACGCUGAACAAAUCUGCAUCUCAAGACUGCCGCUGUUUUUAGUACACGAGGAGGGGUUAUGGGCAGAGGGAAGUUGGUUACAACAUGCUGCUGACACUACAAGGAUUCUGGACCGUUGCUCUCUACUUCGGUCUAUUAGGUAUAAUAUGGUUACCACGUUACUACGUGAUUCCGACCAAACUGAGGUUGUGGCCUUCUUACUGGCUGUAUAGCACCUUCUCCACCAACACUCUGCCACCUCUCA
Long non-coding RNA from Bolinopsis microptera, 349 nucleotides. RefSeq lists it as uncharacterized. The transcript has 3 exons. NCBI's taxonomy places the organism in Eukaryota, Metazoa, Ctenophora, Tentaculata, Lobata, Bolinopsidae. The record is from RefSeq and is a predicted model, not a curated record.